GUCGAUGCGUGGAGUGGACGGAGCA
RNAcentral lists this non-coding RNA (25 nucleotides) under Cricetulus griseus (Chinese hamster). Lineage: Eukaryota; Metazoa; Chordata; Mammalia; Rodentia; Cricetidae. The record is from RNAcentral.